Molecule: ribosomal RNA, 111 nt
Filed under: Enterobacter cloacae
Lineage: Bacteria; Pseudomonadati; Pseudomonadota; Gammaproteobacteria; Enterobacterales; Enterobacteriaceae
Also listed under: 7 other names
Source: RNAcentral
UGGCGGCUGUAGCGCGGUGGUCCCACCUGACCCCAUGCCGAACUCAGAAGUGAAACGCCGUAGCGCCGAUGGUAGUGUGGGGUCUCCCCAUGUGAGAGUAGGGAACUGCCA